This 2922-nucleotide ribosomal RNA is filed under the name Staphylococcus haemolyticus. RNAcentral's name for it is "23S ribosomal RNA". It matches the Rfam family "Bacterial large subunit ribosomal RNA". The record is from RNAcentral. Lineage: Bacteria; Bacillati; Bacillota; Bacilli; Caryophanales; Staphylococcaceae.
GAUUAAGUUAUUAAGGGCGCACGGUGGAUGCCUUGGCACUAGAAGCCGACGAAGGACGUUACUAACGACGAUAUGCUUUGGGUAGCUGUAAGUAAGCGUUGAUCCAGAGAUUUCCGAAUGGGGGAACCCAGCACGAGUUAUGUCGUGUUAUCGACAAGUGAAUUCAUAGCUUGUCAGAAGGCAGACCCGGAGAACUGAAACAUCUUAGUACCCGGAGGAAGAGAAAGAAAAAUCGAUUCCCUGAGUAGCGGCGAGCGAAACGGGAAGAGCCCAAACCAAUAAGCUUGCUUAUUGGGGUUGUAGGACACUCUAUACGGAGUUACAAAGGAAUAUAUUAGACGAAUCAUCUGGAAAGUUGAAUCAAAGAAGGUAAUAAUCCUGUAGUUGAAAAUAUAUUCUCUCUUGAGUGGAUCCUGAGUACGACGGAGCACGUGAAAUUCCGUCGGAAUCUGGGAGGACCAUCUCCUAAGGCUAAAUACUCUCUAGUGACCGAUAGUGAACCAGUACCGUGAGGGAAAGGUGAAAAGUACCCCAGAAGGGGAGUGAAAGAGAACUUGAAACCGUGUGCUUACAAGUAGUCAGAGCCCGUUAAUGGGUGAUGGCGUGCCUUUUGUAGAAUGAACCGGCGAGUUACGAUCUGAUGCAAGGUUAAGCAGGAGAUGUGGAGCCGUAGCGAAAGCGAGUCUGAAUAGGGCGUUGAGUAUUUGGUCGUAGACCCGAAACCAGGUGAUCUACCCAUGGUCAGGUUGAAGUUCAGGUAACACUGAAUGGAGGACCGAACCGACUUACGUUGAAAAGUGAGCGGAUGAACUGUGGGUAGCGGAGAAAUUCCAAUCGAACUUGGAGAUAGCUGGUUCUCUCCGAAAUAGCUUUAGGGCUAGCCUCAAGUGAUGAUUAUUGGAGGUAGAGCACUGUUUGGACGAGGGGCCCCUCUCGGGUUACCGAAUUCAGACAAACUCCGAAUGCCAAUUAAUUUAACUUGGGAGUCAGAACAUGGGUGAUAAGGUCCGUGUUCGAAAGGGAAACAGCCCAGACCACCAGCUAAGGUCCCAAAAUAUAUGUUAAGUGGAAAAGGAUGUGGCGUUGCCCAGACAACUAGGAUGUUGGCUUAGAAGCAGCCAUCAUUUAAAGAGUGCGUAAUAGCUCACUAGUCGAGUGACACUGCGCCGAAAAUGUACCGGGGCUAAACAUAUUACCGAAGCUGUGGAUUGUCCGUAGGACAAUGGUAGGAGAGCGUUCUAAGGGCGUUGAAGCAUGAUCGCAAGGACAUGUGGAGCGCUUAGAAGUGAGAAUGCCGGUGUGAGUAGCGAAAGACGGGUGAGAAUCCCGUCCACCGAUUGACUAAGGUUUCCAGAGGAAGGCUCGUCCGCUCUGGGUUAGUCGGGUCCUAAGCUGAGGCCGACAGGCGUAGGCGAUGGAUAACAGGUUGAUAUUCCUGUACCACCUAGCAUCGUUUUAAUCGAUGGGGGGACGCAGUAGGAUAGGCGAAGCGUACGAUUGGAUUGUACGUCCAAGCAGUGAGAUUGAGUGUUAGGCAAAUCCGGCACUCUUAAGAUUGAGCUGUGAUGGGGAGAGGAAAUUGUUUCCUCGAGUCGUUGAUUUCACACUGCCGAGAAAAGCCUCUAGAUAGAUAAUAGGUGCCCGUACCGCAAACCGACACAGGUAGUCAAGAUGAGAAUUCUAAGGUGAGCGAGCGAACUCUCGUUAAGGAACUCGGCAAAAUGACCCCGUAACUUCGGGAGAAGGGGUGCUCUUUAGGGUGCAAGCCCAGAAGAGCCGCAGUGAAUAGGCCCAAGCGACUGUUUAUCAAAAACACAGGUCUCUGCUAAACCGUAAGGUGAUGUAUAGGGGCUGACGCCUGCCCGGUGCUGGAAGGUUAAGAGGAGUAGUUAGCUUCUGCGAAGCUACGAAUCGAAGCCCCAGUAAACGGCGGCCGUAACUAUAACGGUCCUAAGGUAGCGAAAUUCCUUGUCGGGUAAGUUCCGACCCGCACGAAAGGCGUAACGAUUUGGGCACUGUCUCAACGAGAGACUCGGUGAAAUCAUAGUACCUGUGAAGAUGCAGGUUACCCGCGACAGGACGGAAAGACCCCGUGGAGCUUUACUGUAGCCUGAUAUUGAAAUUCGGCACAGCUUGUACAGGAUAGGUAGGAGCCUUUGAAACGUGAGCGCUAGCUUACGUGGAGGCGCUGGUGGGAUACUACCCUAGCUGUGUUGGCUUUCUAACCCGCACCACUUAUCGUGGUGGGAGACAGUGUCAGGCGGGCAGUUUGACUGGGGCGGUCGCCUCCUAAAAGGUAACGGAGGCGCUCAAAGGUUCCCUCAGAAUGGUUGGAAAUCAUUCAUAGAGUGUAAAGGCAUAAGGGAGCUUGACUGCGAGACCUACAAGUCGAGCAGGGUCGAAAGACGGACUUAGUGAUCCGGUGGUUCCGCAUGGAAGGGCCAUCGCUCAACGGAUAAAAGCUACCCCGGGGAUAACAGGCUUAUCUCCCCCAAGAGUUCACAUCGACGGGGAGGUUUGGCACCUCGAUGUCGGCUCAUCGCAUCCUGGGGCUGUAGUCGGUCCCAAGGGUUGGGCUGUUCGCCCAUUAAAGCGGUACGCGAGCUGGGUUCAGAACGUCGUGAGACAGUUCGGUCCCUAUCCGUCGUGGGCGUAGGAAAUUUGAGAGGAGCUGUCCUUAGUACGAGAGGACCGGGAUGGACAUACCUCUGGUGUACCAGUUGUCGUGCCAACGGCAUAGCUGGGUAGCUAUGUAUGGACGGGAUAAGUGCUGAAAGCAUCUAAGCAUGAAGCCCCCCUCAAGAUGAGAUUUCCCAACUUCGGUUAUAAGAUCCCUCAAAGAUGAUGAGGUUAAUAGGUUCGAGGUGGAAGCGUGGUGACACGUGGAGCUGACGAAUACUAAUCGAUUGAAGACUUAAUCAA